Molecule: ribosomal RNA, 746 nt
Filed under: uncultured bacterium
Lineage: Bacteria
Description: bacterial SSU rRNA
Rfam family: Bacterial small subunit ribosomal RNA
Source: RNAcentral
GGGUGAGUAACACGUAUCCAACCUGCCGUCUACUCUUGGACAGCCUUCUGAAAGGAAGAUUAAUACAAGAUGGCAUCAUGAGUCCACAUGUUCACAUGAUUAAAGGUAUUCCGGUAGACGAUGGGGAUGCGUUCCAUUAGAUAGUAGGCGGGGUAACGGCCCACCUAGUCUUCGAUGGAUAGGGGUUCUGAGAGGAAGGUCCCCCACAUUGGAACUGAGACACGGUCCAAACUCCUACGGGAGGCAGCAGUGAGGAAUAUUGGUCAAUGGGCGAGAGCCUGAACCAGCCAAGUAGCGUGAAGGAUGACUGCCCUAUGGGUUGUAAACUUCUUUUAUAAAGGAAUAAAGUCGGGUAUGCAUACCCGUUUGCAUGUACUUUAUGAAUAAGGAUCGGCUAACUCCGUGCCAGCAGCCGCGGUAAUACGGAGGAUCCGAGCGUUAUCCGGAUUUAUUGGGUUUAAAGGGAGCGUAGAUGGAUGUUUAAGUCAGUUGUGAAAGUUUGCGGCUCAACCGUAAAAUUGCAGUUGAUACUGGAUAUCUUGAGUGCAGUUGAGGCAGGCGGAAUUCGUGGUGUAGCGGUGAAAUGCUUAGAUAUCACGAAGAGCUCCGAUUGCGAAGGCAGCCUGCUAAGCUGCAACUGACAUUGAGGCUCGAAAGUGUGGGUAUCAAACAGGAUUAGAUACCCUGGUAGUCCACACGGUAAACGAUGAAUACUCGCUGUUUGCGAUAUACAGCAAGCGGCCAAG